Molecule: long non-coding RNA, 596 nt
Organism: Corvus hawaiiensis (hawaiian crow)
Lineage: Eukaryota; Metazoa; Chordata; Aves; Passeriformes; Corvidae
Exons: 3
Source: RefSeq, a predicted model, not a curated record
UCAUUUUUGUGUUUGUUGCUUUGCUGUUGUUUAUUUACGUGGCCACAGUAGGAUUUGGAGUCUGCACACCAUUACUUCCAUAUGGAUGGAAACACGCUGCUCUUUCUGCUGAGGAGUUGUGUGUCAACUGUGUUGUGUCCCAUAACCAUUCACAAUGCUGGAGAGACCCAGAGAAGGAAGACAGAGACCAGUAAACCCAGCAGCAUGCUGCGUUUCUUGCUCAGGAAUCCUUGGAAGAGAUGACAGCUAUGAACAGUACAAGGAAGCGGAUCAGAAGAACUUGAAAAUAUCUACAAGAGAGAGGAGGAAAAGACACUGAAUUAGGAACCUCUGAUAUGGAAAACAGGUCAGGAUAUGCCUUGGUCUUCUCAUCACAUUUAUUCUGAGUCAUUUUUCUUGAGAACAACCAGAUGGUGUUUCUCUCUUGCUUCCCGUCCUCCAUCUAAGGAGAGCAGCAGUUUGCUAAAGUAAUAAAAAUCUAUAGGUUGGCCAUUAUUUAAAGGAUUGAUGUUUGAAAAAUCAAAUAAAGAGUAAAACUGUGAAAAGCAUUCGGUGCUGUUAUUAAAAAAAUGUAGGGGAGAGGAGAGGAGAGGAGA